Molecule: long non-coding RNA, 5990 nt
Organism: Mercenaria mercenaria
Lineage: Eukaryota; Metazoa; Mollusca; Bivalvia; Venerida; Veneridae
Exons: 3
Source: RefSeq, a predicted model, not a curated record
UAUUUCUUCACCACGCUCGCUAAAUUGCGAUCACCCUGCCAGUGAUUUUUUUACUUUUUUUGGCAACAGCCCAUACCUUUUCAAUUGGGAAUUUUUAGCGCGAUAAACUUCAAAAUUGGGAAAAAUGAACAAACCUUAAUAAAGAAAUCAUUUUGAAAAGUUUAAUUUUAAGGUAAAUUUAUUUCAUUCAAAUAUGCACUGAGGUUGAACAGACAGUACAGACAGGUUAUUUUCUGAUGUCACAGGAUCUGAUAGCUCAGAUAGCUUAGGGUCACCAUGAGCUUCUGUUGAUUUCUGAGGGUCAUUUUGUGGGGACUCAGAUUUCUUGUACAGAUCACUUUGCUUUUCUGACGUUUGAUUUGAAUUUAAUUUCUCUUUAACUUUACCAAAAGAUGCUCGAAUGACCGGAGUACCGAUGACGUGUUUAAGUUUUAUUUUUCUUAUUAUAAUAUUUGGAAUUAUGCAACAUUUUUCGAUAAUUUAGGUAAGUUUAUAACAAUUUUUUUUCCCGACUAAUUUUGACGCAUGAAAAAGCAUUUAGCGACCGUGAUGAAAGUCAUACUAAAUGCCAUACUAUGGCAUGACCCGUUUUAUGUAAACAACACGUUUCGAGUUGGCAACAAAAUUCUGCGAAUAAACCAUAAUUAGAGUCGGAAUUUUUAUGAUUAUUUGCAUCGUUUUAGUUCAACAUUCACAAGAAAUCAAUCUAAUUGGGAAAAAUCAUCUUGUUUUGGGGAAUUUUUAAGCAUUUUUUUGGAAUUUUGACCAUUUUUGUCAGUUGGGAAGACGCCGAAUUUCGGAGUCAAAUCGGCACAAAAAAAAUCACUGCCUGCGUUCCGUGCGUAUUUUCAGGGGACCCUGGGUUUUUGACGUUUCAUUCCUGGUGUUUAUUAUAUAUAUAUAGAGGGUAUUUUUUGUAAAGAUAGACUUCUAUGGUCUUAUUGAUAGAAUUUCAGACUCCUGUGGUCAUUUUAUACUAGGCAAUGUCUAAACUAGCUAAAAAAUCAGCUCAGCGUUAUGGGUCUCUUGAGCUGAAAAAAAUCUCUUAUUGAAAUCUAAUUAGAAAUUGUGCCAGAUGUCUAACAUGCAAAAAUUUCAUCAGAUGAAAUGCAGCGAACUCGCCUUGUACUUUAAAAUAUUUCUAAUCAAUUUUUCUUUUGAUCUGGCAUAAAAUAAACCAUGCAACAUAAUUUGGACACAAUAGGAGGGAUCGUGUUUGUAUACAAAUCUCUUGUAUUUUCUAUUCUUAGAACUGAUAAGACAAAUAUCGGGUGGGCAGACACCGAGGGUCCAUGAUUUUUUGUAAACAGUAAUGUUUUUCUAACGGCUUAAACUUUCUUAAAAAAAACGAAUGAUAUCAAUAAUCUUUUGAUCAAUGGAAAGAAUAUAAAACAAGCAAUUUAUUGAUUACUCUUAAUUAUCAUUUCGAAAUAAAAUGGAUUUAUUAUGAACGCUUAACUUACAGUGUUUUUUCUAAAAAUUUGGAGCGUCCCUACGCCGCUAUUAAAAUCAUACAGGGCUCGAGAUAAGAUGCGUAAUAGCGUAAAUUACGCUUUGAAAUAAUGCAUAUACGCAUGUCUGUUUAUUUUUUAGCGUAUAAAAACGUACAUAAAAUUACAGAAACACAUGCAAUGACUUCUUAUUAGGGUAAACAAAAUCUAAAUUGUCUGGAUGCUUUACAUAACAGAGCACGAUCUGCAUUCAUUCUGCCACAUUGAACGUACACAGGCAUUGAAUGGUAACUCUAUAAACCUAUGUGAAACUAUAUAAUACACUUAAUGUGUGCGCAAAUCAAAUUGUUAGGAAUUAAUAUUGAUGGUAAGGUAGUGUAUUUUAAAGCAGUGUCGAUUUAAAAUAUCAACUUCUGGUGUGGAGUAAAGAACAACAUGUUUCUUUCUAAGAAUGUAUGUAGUGAACAAACGUGCUAGACAUUCUUUUAACCAACAAUAAAUGAUUUCCAAAACAUGGUUAAAGGUAUAUUGAAUAAUCUAUUGGAUUAGGCAGUUAGUGUGAAGCCAAAGCAAGUCAAUGGGAAAAAAAGAAGCAAAAACUUGAAUGCUGAAUUGAAACUCAGGGGUCACGCUGUCAAUCACCACUUGAGCCAUUUGCGGCAAAAAAUUAAAUGUGGGUCCGAAAUUUUCUAAUGGGCGAAAAUGGCCCGAAGCUAUCUGUCUGCAAAACUACGAAUAUUGCCAGUUUUACGAACCAAAAGGUGUGAAAAAUCGAUAAUCUGUGUAGACACAACAUCCGUUAUUGAAAGGGAGGGAGCCACUUCGCAAUUUUUUUAUUUGAUCAGGCAGUUAAUUGGCGAUAAUUAGAUUAUUGAAUAACAAACUGGAUAAUUAUAAUCACCAUUUUGUGCACCUGAUACGAUUUUAUGAGCAGUCGGCCGUUAGACAAAUUUUCUAUGAUUGCCGAGGGUUAGUUUGGGCAAAAACAAAUAAAAAUGCUUUAGACAAGCAGUAAUUGUAGGUAUUGAAUAGCUAUGGUGAUAGAAAAGCAGUAAAACGUAGGUAUUUUAUCAAAUAUUUAAUUCCAACUUACGUUUUCCGAAUUUGUCACCCGUUUUCGCGACCGUGAUUUUCGGAUAUUUCUGUCAUUUCUGACGAGAUUUUUUAGUGCAAUAAAAAGCCAAUAAAAAGUCUACAUUUAAGAGAAAUAUGACAACUGUUGCAAAAGGAGCUCUUACUUUGAAGUAUUUUUCAAGAAUAAAACAUGCGAAGGACCCCACCCACUUGUAGGCAAUGUGCAAAAUAAGACAUUGUUUUUUUUAAAACAUUUUUUUUUCUUUUUUGACAUCUUUAUUUUAAAUGUGAUUUUCAGAAUUUUUUUAUUAAAUGGCAGAUGUUUAUAAAAAUGAUAAUUUUAGAAAUUAACACAAAUUGAUUUUUCUAAAUAGCUUUUUAAAGGGUUACUAAGAAAUAUGUUUUAAAAUGGUUAUUCAUUUUAAAAAGAUAUUUAAAUGAGAAAAUAUGAAAAUCGUAAGCAUUUCAAAACUUUUUGAAUUUUUAAAAUCCAUAAAUGAGCGAAAAAGUUAUUAAAAAUUAAAAAUUCUGAUCCCAUACAAAACAGGUGUUAAUGCGUGACGUCACGGCGAUCUCUCCUUUAAGUUAUACACACAAGUUUCAUGGGUACACCUGUCUGCAAUAUUUUGUUCGCCAUUGCAGUUGUGACCUGAUCAGGGUACUCUUCAUUUUGAAAAACAAAUAGGAGCUAUAGAACUUAAACCUUCUAACUAACCUAAGGUAUGUUUUUCAUUAAUUUUUGUGAAAAUGGUUAUGUUGAUAAAUCAGUUUAAUCCAUAAAUAUGCAAAAUUUUGAUCUUGAUUUUCAAAUUAACCAUGUGCUCUGAACUUUUUCAUGAUGUCAUCACUUUUUCACCAGAGACUGUGAGAUACUGCAAUUCGACACUGGUUAGCAGUGUUUUCCCUUGACUUUUGAAAAUGAGGGUCAUUGUGACCCCCAAUAUUUCACAUCUGGGGGUCAUUUCCAAAUUUUGGGGGUCAUACAGAUAUACUUUUAGUACUUUGAAUAAAACUUUGUUUUACUUAUACUAGUGAUUAUACAGAUUGAAGUGUUUCCUCAUAUUUGUCACUGAAUAAAAUGCCGGGAUAAAGAUAGCUGAUAGUUGACUUUUUACUUAUAUAUGUGCUAAAAUAGGUUUUAAAAUAGGUUUUAGUAUUUUUUACCAGGCAGUGUUAUAGUAGAAACUGGUGAUUUGAACCGUUGGUCCUACUGUACUUGCUGCCGAGAACGUCAUGAACAUCGUCAGCCUGCUUUGCUUUAGAGCCAUUUUUGUUUCUAAUAAACAGCAGACUGAUACUACUGAUACUAGUAGCGAGUAGUGAUAACAACUGUUACAAAGUGUUAAUCAGUCAAAGUAUCAGACUGGGUAUUAAAUUUGUGAAAUGUGAAUCGACACAAAUAUAGAAUAUUGGUGACGCAGUCUGCAUAUAAUCUUGAAACUGAAAGUAAAUUUUCAGAAAAUCACUCUUUGUACAUGCUGUAAACAAAAUUGGCCUGAUUUAGAUUUUCAAGAAAUUGCGUCCACCUUGAUGCACAGAAUUUAUUUUUACGGGUCAUUUCUCAGAAAAGUGCGACUAUGACUCAGGAUUUGUGCGUCAGGGAAAACCCUGGGUUAGUUAACCAAAUCAGGGGGUUUCGCCAUAACUUUAUUAAUAGACGUGACCCUCAGAAAAUAAAAAUAGCGUCAGUUAAGUUAUGGUAGCCAGAAAUAGGCAGCGUCUGCCCAUUCAGUAACUGGAGAUCCAGCCUGCACUCUAGCCGUCUAGGAAACAGAUGCCUAGCCUAUUCUCUAGAGUUUUUCUAGGUGUCCAGUAAUAGUUUCCUCUUGGUUGUUGUAAUCAGUUAAUUAAAAAAAAAUUGUGCUUCCCAAAAGGCAAAGGGCAAACAUAUAGUUGCCGCUUUGUCUGUCUGUCUGUCACACUUUUAUCCGGAGUAUAACUUGAAAAGUAUUAAUGACAUUUGAUUUGAGUCUUUUUCAGGUAAAUUGCAACAUCAGCAGGGUUUCCCAUUCAUGUAAAUAUGUACGUUUUCCACGUAUAAAUUUUGAUCUGAAACAUACAGAAAAUUGCUCCAGUACGUAUUUUCACGCAACCAAAUUGCCAACCAGGAAGAUGCUAAAUUGUUCUAUAUCACAAUAACAGCGAACUUACAAUGUAAUCGAUCUGAAGUAGCUGAAAAAUGAACAGUUUGUGGAAUUCCAGUGUCUAUUUUUAGUCGUGUCUGCAGGGCUUGAGCAAGGGAGCGACUUGAGCGAAAUAGUCGCUUUGUAGCUCCCCACUUCGCUCUAAUCUUAGUUUCUUACAUCAAAGCUAAAUUCACACACCUCCAUUUAUCUUGACACUUGACUGGAAUACACGAAAGCAUAAUUUAAGCCCCGCCUUCUUCAGAUUACUGAGAAGUGCAAAGGUGACACUUGUUUUGUAAACUGACUGUUGAUAAACAAAGCAGUAGGGAUUUAUAUUACAUAAGCUUACACAUUCUUUUUUGACCUUUAGAAGGUAUCUUACCGUGACCGGCUCGAGUAAUUUCCUUAAAUCCACGUAAUUUUACUCCUAUUUUUCAAAACCCAAACUUUAGAAACAUAAUAUUAUCACUGACACUUCCUGUGAAUAGAAUAAUGUAACUUUCAGUUAGGCAAAUUUUUGAGACACCAGCAUAUCAAAGAGACACCAGCUGAUCAAAGAAGAGGUGUAUUCUGUCACUGUGUGAUGUCAUAGUGAUGUCACUGCUAUUGACAUGUAUUUAAUUCAUAUACUUGGUAUUUAAAGUGACUGACUUUGAGUGCAGGAGCUUGAUUUAUUUUUUGCUGAUAUAGAAUUAACAGGGGUGGUAUAGUACGUCAUCAACAGGUGCGCGCAACACUUCCCGAUGCGGCAUUUUUGUGUCAAAACAUCUCGAUUCGGUACAUGAAAGAUGAAAAAGGAAACAAAACUUCUAGUCUGCAUCAAUGGAAUUGUCAAUAUAUGUUAAAAAGGUUUGCUGAGUGAUUGGCAUGCAAGACAUAAUUGACGUAUUAUAUUUUCCAAAAGCUGUACGACAUAAUAUUGGAGAAGUGGAGAACAUCCUCUAACGGAAUUACCCCACAGACAAGGAUUUCAACGCUAAAUUAGGUCUCCGUACCAAACACGAAUAUGUCGGUUGCUGUUUGAAGGGCCACGUGUUCAUCACAAUUGAUCGGGAAAAAUGAGAAAUUACUGUAUCGCGCCAAGGAAAUGUUCUUAUUAAGGGGUUUUAGAUGUGCGCAGGGAAGGAACAAGAGUGACUGCAACCGAAUUAUAAUUACCACGUAGCAGAAUGGGACAUCGAUUGAAUCUACACUAGAAAGCGGUUCAGGAUUUAACAUUUGACUAAUGUUCAGAUUUUGCUUGCAAAUCUUAGUGCACCCAAUUACAUGUUAAAACUCGAAGUGAGCUUGAACAGUGGUAGAACAAUUUUACUUGCAAUGUUAAAUUAUUUUACUUUUC